GUGGGGAAUAUUGGACAAUGGGCGAAAGCCUGAUCCAGCCAUGCCGCGUGUGUGAAGAAGGUCUUCGGAUUGUAAAGCACUUUAAGUUGGGAGGAAGGGUAGUAACCUAAUACCUUGCUGUUUUGACGUUACCGACAGAAUAAGCACCGGCUAACUUCGUGCCAGCAGCCGCGGUAAUACGAAGGGUGCAAGCGUUAAUCGGAAUUACUGGGCGUAAAGCGCGCGUAGGUGGUGUUGUAAGUUGGAGGUGAAAUCCCCGGGCUCAACCUGGGAACUGCCUCCAAAACUGCAUGACUAGAGUACGGUAGAGGGUAGUGGAAUUUCCUGUGUAGCGGUGAAAUGCGUAGAUAUAGGAAGGAACACCAGUGGCGAAGGCGACUACCUGGACUGAUACUGACACUGAGGUGCGAAAGCGUGGGGAGCAAACAGGAUUAGAUACCCGGGUAGUCC
Molecule: ribosomal RNA, 450 nt
Filed under: uncultured bacterium
Lineage: Bacteria
Description: partial 16S ribosomal RNA
Rfam family: Bacterial small subunit ribosomal RNA
Source: RNAcentral